RNAcentral lists this unclassified non-coding RNA (364 nucleotides) under uncultured bacterium. RNAcentral describes it as "contains 16S-23S intergenic spacer region". The record is from RNAcentral.
UCCCCGUUAUCCGGGGCAGUCUCGUGUGACAUAUCUAACACACGACAAGGGUUGCGCUCGUUGCGGGACUUAACCCAACAUCUCACGACACGAGCUGACGACGACCAUGCAGCACCUGUCACCAGAUUCCCGAAGGCACAGUCUAGUUUCCUAGACCUCUCUGGGAUGUCAAGCCUCGGUAAGGUUCUUCGCGUUGCGUCGAAUUAAACCACAUGAUCCACCGCUUGUGCGGGUCCCCGUCAAUUCCUUUGAGUUUUAAGCUUGCGCUCGUACUCCCCAGGCGGCACACUUAACGCGUUAGCUACGCAGCACAGGGGGUCGAUACCCCAUACUACUAGUGUGCAUCGUUUACGGCGUGGACUAC